Chelonoidis abingdonii (Abingdon island giant tortoise) is the source of this 195-nucleotide non-coding RNA. NCBI's taxonomy places the organism in Eukaryota, Metazoa, Chordata, Testudines, Testudinidae. The record is from RefSeq and is a predicted model, not a curated record.
GUGCCUUCUGGACAGCAGGGAAAAAGGACAAGGAUGCUGAACCACAACUGUUUCGGGGAAGAAGAAGGAACACUCACUCCACUGAAAUUGCCAAAGUCCAGGAGUUCCUGACUAGAAAGGAAAUUAAGAACUGAUCCUGGUGAAGAAACAAAGAAUUAUACACUGGCAGGAAGAAAUUUGUGGGACCCAUGCUUG